This 745-nucleotide ribosomal RNA is filed under the name uncultured bacterium. RNAcentral describes it as "bacterial SSU rRNA". It matches the Rfam family "Bacterial small subunit ribosomal RNA", at positions 33 to 773 of the family's 1533-position model. The record is from RNAcentral.
ACGCUGGCGGCAGGCCUAACACAUGCAAGUCGAGCGGUAGAGAGAAGCUUGCUUCUCUUGAGAGCGGCGGACGGGUGAGUAAUGCCUAGGAAUCUGCCUGGUAGUGGGGGAUAACGUUCGGAAACGGACGCUAAUACCGCAUACGUCCUACGGGAGAAAGCAGGGGACCUUCGGGCCUUGCGCUAUCAGAUGAGCCUAGGUCGGAUUAGCUAGUUGGUGGGGUAAUGGCUCACCAAGGCGACGAUCCGUAACUGGUCUGAGAGGAUGAUCAGUCACACUGGAACUGAGACACGGUCCAGACUCCUACGGGAGGCAGCAGUGGGGAAUAUUGGACAAUGGGCGAAAGCCUGAUCCAGCCAUGCCGCGUGUGUGAAGAAGGUCUUCGGAUUGUAAAGCACUUUAAGUUGGGGGGAAGGGUUGUAGAUUAAUACUCUGCAAUUUUGACGUUACCGACAGAAUAAGCACCGGCUAACUCUGUGCCAGCAGCCGCGGUAAUACAGAGGGUGCAAGCGUUAAUCGGAAUUACUGGGCGUAAAGCGCGCGUAGGUGGUUAGUUAAGUUGGAUGUGAAAUCCCCGGGCUCAACCUGGGAACUGCAUUCAAAACUGACUGACUAGAGUAUGGUAGAGGGUGGUGGAAUUUCCUGUGUAGCGGUGAAAUGCGUAGAUAUAGGAAGGAACACCAGUGGCGAAGGCGACCACCUGGACUGAUACUGACACUGAGGUGCGAAAGCGUGGGGAGCAAAC